CUCUGUGACUCCUACGGGAGGCAGCAGUGGGGAAUAUUGCACAAUGGGCGCAAGCCUGAUGCAGCCAUGCCGCGUGUGUGAAGAAGGCCUUCGGGUUGUAAAGCACUUUCAGUUGUGAGGAAGGUGGUGUCGUUAAUAGCGGCAUCAUUUGACGUUAGCAACAGAAGAAGCACCGGCUAACUCCGUGCCAGCAGCCGCGGUAAUACGGAGGGUGCGAGCGUUAAUCGGAAUUACUGGGCGUAAAGCGCAUGCAGGCGGCCUGUUAAGUCAGAUGUGAAAGCCCGGGGCUUAACCUCGGAAUUGCAUUUGAAACUGGCAGGCUAGAGUCUUGUAGAGGGGGGUAGAAUUUCAGGUGUAGCGGUGAAAUGCGUAGAGAUCUGAAGGAAUACCAGUGGCGAAGGCGGCCCCCUGGACAAAGACUGACGCUCAGAUGCGAAAGCGUGGGGAGCAAACAGGAUUAGAUACCCUGGUAG
Molecule: ribosomal RNA, 473 nt
Filed under: uncultured bacterium
Lineage: Bacteria
Description: bacterial SSU rRNA
Rfam family: Bacterial small subunit ribosomal RNA
Source: RNAcentral